Molecule: ribosomal RNA, 430 nt
Filed under: uncultured Anaerococcus sp.
Lineage: Bacteria; Bacillati; Bacillota; Tissierellia; Tissierellales; Peptoniphilaceae
Description: bacterial SSU rRNA
Rfam family: Bacterial small subunit ribosomal RNA
Source: RNAcentral
CGGGAGGCAGCAGUGGGGAAUUUUGCACAAUGGGGGAAACCCUGAUGCAGCGACGCCGCGUGAUUUAGAAGGCCUUCGGGUUGUCAAAAUCUUUUGUAUAGGAAGAAAAUGACAGUACUAUACGAAUAAGGUCCGGCUAAUUACGUGCCAGCAGCCGCGGUAAUACGUAAGGACCGAGCGUUGUCCGGAAUCAUUGGGCGUAAAGGGUACGUAGGCGGGUCAUUAAGUUAGAAGUCAAAGGCUAUAGCUCAACUAUAGUAAGCUUCUAAAACUGGAGACCUUGAGUAAUGGAAGGGAAAGUGGAAUUCCUAGUGUAGCGGUGGAAUGCGCAGAUAUUAGGAGGAAUACCGGUGGCGAAGGCGACUUUCUGGCCAUUAACUGACGCUGAGGUACGAAAGCGUGGGUAGCAAACAGGAUUAGAUACCCGCGU